Molecule: ribosomal RNA, 520 nt
Filed under: uncultured bacterium
Lineage: Bacteria
Description: bacterial SSU rRNA
Rfam family: Bacterial small subunit ribosomal RNA
Source: RNAcentral
GGACGAACGCUGGCGGCGUGCCUAAUACAUGCAAGUCGAACGGUCUUUUCUAUGGAAGCUUGCUUCCACUGAGAAGAUAGUGGCGAACGGGUGAGUAACACGUGGGGUAACCUGCCCAUAAGAGGGGGAUAACAUCCGGAAACGGGUGCUAAUACCGCAUAGUUUUCUUGAUUGCAUGAUUGAGAAAGGAAAGACGGCCUUUGUGCUGUCGCUUAUGGAUGGACCCGCGGCGUAUUAGUUAGUUGGUGAGGUAACGGCUCACCAAGACGAUGAUACGUAGCCGACCUGAGAGGGUGAUCGGCCACAUUGGGACUGAGACACGGCCCAAACUCCUACGGGAGGCAGCAGUAGGGAAUCUUCCGCAAUGGACGAAAGUCUGACGGAGCAACGCCGCGUGAGUGAAGAAAGGUUUUCGGAUCGUAAAACUCUGUUGUCAGAGAAGAACAAGUUGGAGAGUAACUGCUCCAGCCUUGACGGUAUCUGACCAGAAAGCCACGGCUAACUACGUGCCAGCCGCCGC